GACGAACGCUGGCGGCGUGCUUAACACAUGCAAGUCGAACGGAAAGGCCUUUUCGGAGGUACUCGAGUGGCGAACGGGUGAGUAACACGUGGGUGAUCUGCCCUGCACUCUGGGAUAAGCCUGGGAAACUGGGUCUAAUACCGGAUAGGACCGCACUUUAGUGUGUGUGGUGGAAAGUUUUUUCGGUGUAGGAUGAGCCCGCAGCCUAUCAGCUUGUUGGUGGGGUAAUGGCCUACCAAGGCGGCGACGGGUAGCCGGACUGAGAGGUUGGUCGGCCACAUUGGGACUGAGAUACGGCCCAGACUCCUGCGGGAGGCAGCAGUGGGGAAUAUUGCACAAUGGGCGCAAGCCUGAUGCAGCGACGCCGCGUGGGGGAUGACGGCCUUCGGGUUGUAAACUCCUUUCGCCAGGGACGAAGCGUUUUGUGACGGUACCUGGAGAAGAAGCACCGGCUAACUACG
RNAcentral lists this ribosomal RNA (461 nucleotides) under uncultured bacterium. RNAcentral's name for it is "partial 16S ribosomal RNA". It matches the Rfam family "Bacterial small subunit ribosomal RNA", at positions 28 to 505 of the family's 1533-position model. The record is from RNAcentral.